CUACGGGCGGCUGCAGUGAGGAAUAUUGCACAAUGGGGGGAACCCUGAUGCAGCAACGCCGCGUGGAGGAUGACGCAUUUCGGUGUGUAAACUCCUUUUAUAUGUCAAGAAAAUGACGGUAGCAUAUGAAUAAGCACCGGCUAACUCCUUGCCAGCAGCCGCGGUAAUACGGAGGGUGCAAGCGUUACUCGGAAUCACUGGGCGUAAAGGACGCGUAGGCGGGUUGGAAAGUCAGGUGUGAAAUCCUACAGCUUAACUGUAGAACUGCACUUGAAACUUGUAAUCUAGAGUAUGGGAGGGGGAGAUGGAAUUAGUGGUGUAGGGGUAAAAUCCGUAGAUAUCACUAGGAAUACCUAAAGCGAAGGCGAUCUCCUGGAACAUUACUGACGCUAAGGCGUGAAAGCGUGGGGAGCAAACAGGAUUAGAUACCCUCGUAGUC
This 439-nucleotide ribosomal RNA is filed under the name uncultured bacterium. Its description in RNAcentral is "partial 16S ribosomal RNA". It matches the Rfam family "Bacterial small subunit ribosomal RNA", at positions 339 to 795 of the family's 1533-position model. The record is from RNAcentral.